Molecule: ribosomal RNA, 424 nt
Filed under: uncultured bacterium
Lineage: Bacteria
Description: bacterial SSU rRNA
Rfam family: Bacterial small subunit ribosomal RNA
Source: RNAcentral
GAUGAACGCUGGCGGCGUGCUUAACACAUGCAAGUCGAACGGGAUCCCAGGAGCUUGCUCCUGGGUGAGAGUGGCGAACGGGUGAGUAAUGCGUGACCGACCUGCCCCAUACACCGGAAUAGCUCCUGGAAACGGGUGGUAAUGCCGGAUGCUCCGACAUGACGCAUGUCGUGUCGGGAAAGAUUCAUCGGUAUGGGAUGGGGUCGCGUCCUAUCAGCUUGAUGGCGGGGUAACGGCCCACCAUGGCUUCGACGGGUAGCCGGCCUGAGAGGGCGACCGGCCACAUUGGGACUGAGAUACGGCCCAGACUCCUACGGGAGGCAGCAGUGGGGAAUAUUGCACAAUGGGCGCAAGCCUGAUGCAGCGACGCCGCGUGCGGGAUGACGGCCUUCGGGUUGUAAACCGCUUUUGACUGGGAGCAAGC